GCUAGUGUUUUCAACAGGGGUUGUAGCUAUCUUCUAACCUUCAUUACAGUGCACUGCGUUAGGAAAUAAUCUGUUUUACAGAAAUGGAAAAAACUAUAAUAUGAUACCUGUUCAAUCUCCAUGCAGCAUACAGUAUGUUUUCUUGUUCUGUAGCCAUCCUGUGACAUUUGCCACAUGGCUACCUGUAAUUAAUAACAUUACAUGAUGCAACAUGUUUUUGUGUGCGUAUGUCUGACAACCCACCUCUCCCGGGAGUGGCAAAUCACUAGUGUCUACCUGACGCCCACAAAUUGGUGACAAUCUCCAUAACAGAAUGAGGGCAUUCUACCAGAGCGAACAAACCGAGGGGGAAAGUGCACCAAACGUCGUCGCAAGUCGCGACAGAACGCGAUGACGAACAGACCGACUCUGGGACAUCCGGCCAGUAACGGCGGGAGAACCCCCCGGGAACACGAUCGCAGGUUUUCCGGAAUUUGGUACCCAAUUGUUGACAGGACAGUACAUAGAGGGGACAGGAAACUAUACAUUAGAGCGAGGGGAACCGGAUCAGCAAAGGACCUCCAGAUGGGAUUCGAACACGUGUUGCCAUGUGCACAUUGACAGCACAUGCAGAGCA
This is a long non-coding RNA of Triplophysa dalaica, 616 nucleotides long. RefSeq lists it as uncharacterized. Lineage: Eukaryota; Metazoa; Chordata; Actinopteri; Cypriniformes; Nemacheilidae. The transcript has 3 exons. The record is from RefSeq and is a predicted model, not a curated record.